This 513-nucleotide ribosomal RNA is filed under the name uncultured bacterium. Its description in RNAcentral is "partial 16S ribosomal RNA". It matches the Rfam family "Bacterial small subunit ribosomal RNA", at positions 28 to 523 of the family's 1533-position model. The record is from RNAcentral.
GAUGAACGCUGGCGGCGUGCCUAAUACAUGCAAGUCGAACGCGCAGCGAAAGGUGCUUGCACCUUUCAAGCGAGUGGCGAACGGGUGAGUAACACGUGGAUAACCUGCCUCAAGGCUGGGGAUAACAUUUGGAAACAGAUGCUAAUACCGAAUAACACUUAGUAGCGCAUGAUACAAAGUUAAAAGGCGCUACGGCGUCACCUAGAGAUGGAUCAGCGGUGCAUUAGUUAGUUGGUGGGGUAAAGGCGUACCAAGACGAUGAUGCAUAGCCGAGGUGAAAGACUGAUCGGCCACAUAGGGACUGAGACACGGCCCAAACUCCUACGGGAGGCUGCAGUAGGGAAUCUUCCACAAUGGGCGCAAGCCUGACGGAGCAACGCCGCGUGUGUGAUGAAGGCUUUCGGGUCGUAAAGCACUGUUGUAUGGGAAGAAAUGCUAAAAUAGGGAAUGAUCUUAGUUUGACGGUACCAUACCAGAAAGGGACGGCUAAAUACGUGCCAGCAGCCGCCGCGG